AAAUGGGGGGCUAGUGGAAGGGGAAAUGGAGGCCCCUGUCACUGACAGAAACUCUCACCCCUCUCUGUGGACCAGGGUCCUUCCCUCUGACCCCAAACUUCCUUCAUCUGGGGCAUGAGCUCUUCCCCUCACUCCCAUACCCCUCCCCUCUUUCCUUGCUCUGACCCCCAUCCCAUUCCCCGUGCUCCCAGGCAGAGAUCUCCCUGCCCCAUAUGGUGCAGAAGGACCUUUGUGUCAGGGCUACAGACUGCCUGCCCAACUGAAGCUCAGGAAGCUCCACAUUUGAGGAGGUGAGGAUGGGACAGAGGCUCAGGGCCUGCUUCACCUCCUGCCCUUUAUUCUUCCUUUGGCCCUUCUAUGGACUCUCCGAGGGUAACAUGAAUAGGAACCUCCUCCCCACCUGUCUUCUAGGCCCUGGGUGUGUGACUGCCUCCCAGAUGGGUGCAGUCAGAAGCUGAGCCACCUCAGAGAGCAGUGGGGACAGGUCACCUUGUUCUAUGAAACCAAGCAGUGCUAGUUCUCAAAGAGGCUGAGAGGGAAGACCCCCGUCCCUCAUGAAGCAGGAGGCUCCACAGAGAUGUCCUCAAACCUGUUCUCCUGGGAACAUUUCUGGGAGGAGGCUCCCAUCCCUCAGUCUCCAACUCCAUCAUGCAGUCUCAUUCACAUAACAUCUCUGCUCUCCAGCUCCACUUCCCGCAGCAGGACAAACGAACCUUCAGCUCCUAGAGACCUGACUCUGACUCCUGAUCAGCAAUGGGGUUUCACCAUCCCCUCAACAAACCUGUCAGCCUCUGAAUGAUGAACGUCAGAGUCACCAGAACCAGCAAAACUCCAACUGCAGCCAGUUGAGCCUUUGUAAACUUAGCCCCUCUGGAAACCAGGUCUGAACUGGAGAGGUCUGAACUCAUGGACUCCUAGACUUUAAGGUCAGAAGGGACCAUUAUGACCAUCUAGUCUGACCUCCUGCACAAUACAGGCCACAGAAUCUCACCCACCCACUCUUGUAAUAAACCCCUAACCGAAGGGAACUUGAGAAGAGAGGUAGGAUGUGCCCAGGGAAAUCUGCAGCAAAGAGAAAAGAGCAACCCUAGCUGUUGAGUACAGAGCCCUGGGCUGCUACCAGUGUCAGGGUGGGACCGGGUUCCUCUACUGGCCCCAAAGAAGGGGGCAUACACACACCCAGAGAGGGUUACCAAGCCCAGCAAGGGAGCUGCAGGCUGAGCCAGAGCCCCAGCGAGAGCAGAAGAACUUUUUUCUCUGGGAAGACCUCUUUGGACUUUCAGUGUGUGAGAAGCUGAGCCCCAGAAGCAUGGACUAAAGAUGGUGAGCUGGCCAGAGGGCUGAAUUACCAGGCAGAGAGACUGCCAUGGUGCUGGAGUGACCAUCGAUGGAGGAUCAGAGGGUACCUAACAAUGAGUAGAUUCAUUGAUUAUUGGCAUAGUCAGCAGGAUUGAAUUCCCCCUGUCAUCCGUGAGGGCUCAUGGAAGUCUUGGUUACUGAAGGAAGGUCCGUCCCCGCAAGUAGGAUUUCCCAUUUGAGUUCCAGGGACUGGCUAAGCAGCCAAGCAGGUCUCGGGGUUUCUCCAGCAGCUCCUAGAAAUCCAACAGAAGCAGAAGGAAGUGCAGGCAGAACUACAGAUGCAGCUGGUAAUCUUGAGGGAGCAGCAGCAAUACCUGUGAGAGAUCCUGCAAAGGGAAAUCAACCUGUUAGGCCCAUGGACAAAAAGAGAAGACUCAGAGAGCAUGCUGCAGCUGUGCUGAGAAGGUUAGCCCAGGAGAGCAGGGCCUGAGAAAGUGUACAAGCAUAGCCUAAUGCCAAGAUGGGAACAAAAGUUCUUUGGUUUUGGUGCAGAGAAGCAGGCCAUAUCAAAAGACCCGGCCUGCAUAGGAAAUUCCUGAGUGGCAAAAGGGGGGGCCAGGGCCCCAAGAAGGAAGAAAGAAAGGAGAAGGUGUCCUCUUGGACAAACACACAUGAGGCAGGCUAGGUGGAGAUGGCAGGGAUGGCCAUGGACCUUGCAGACCCUUCUCCAACACACCUGUCGGGUGCUGCAGGGAGGUGAAGGAUGAAAUGGUUGGCACAGAGAUGAAUCAGGUACGAGAGUUGAGCAGUGGUGUGUGCUCAGACCCUGAUGGAAAAGGUUUUGGGGGAUGCAGCGGGAGUAGAAAAAAGGCUACAGAAGAAGCUAGUGGCUUCAGAACAAGGCUCUGCAAGCAGUUGUUAAUGAGAAUGAGUGGCUGCAGGAAGAGAAGGAUGGCCUCUGAGUUCUGGUGAGUACGAGGCUGUACGAGUGCAUAGCCGGUGACAGCAACGAGAUGGUGAGGGAUGAAGAUUGGACAAGAGUAGAACUUGCCCCCGGGUUGGGCCGGAUUUUAAGGAGGAGGGUAUUUCACAGGGUGGCUUGGCCUGUGGCUGCAAAGCCUGGAGCUAGGCCAAAUUGAUGACCAAGUGAGCCCCACCUGAGAGGAAACAAGGGAAAACAGCAGCAAAAGUACAGAAGCAGACCUACCUGUUCAGUAUAAUGGCCUUGGGCCAAAACCUGGAGUCCAGGGUAGGACUGGGUUCUCCCACCGUCCCUAAGGAAGGGGACAUAGAAGACCAUAGAAACCCAAGAAGGGCAGACCAAGGCGAAAUCAGGCUGAGGAAGAGCUCCCCACGAGGGUGGAAGGCCUUGUUUCUGUUCAAGACAUUUUUGGACUUUGUUUGGAAGGAGCAUGACCCAGGAAGGAGUGGACUAAAGGACAGUCACCUGGUUGGAGGGCUGAGUUCCCAGCCAACAAACUGCAAGAGUGACUAUCAACGGGGUUGCUAGCCCAGCUAGAAAGCUGUGACACGAGACCUGGCCAGGAUCUAGCGGAGAUGUCUGGUGAACUGCCCGUGGACUCUGUGCCCAGCACCACUCCGAAAUUAUUCGCUACCUUCAAAGAAACAGGCACAGCUCAGCUUGUUAGGUAGGCUGGAGACUCACACUUCACUCAAACACACAACACUGAGGUGCUUUGGGAAGCAUAGUAACAAAGAAGAGAUGUAAGUGAUACUAAGCAAGAGAAAGAGACAAAUUUCAAACAGACAAACAAAACAAAACACACUUUGUAGUGACUAAAACUGAAUCUUAAGAGUCACAAUCUUGGCCUUAGCAGUUUCCAGACUAACAUCUCAGCUUUCCUAACAGACCUUAUUUGAUGUCACUGUAUGGUACAAAAAUUCUCUGUCGAAUCCGCUGAUUUGAUUGCUUAGCCUUUCGGUUUCAGACCCUCUGUUCUCCUUCUGGGGUGCCUGGACCCUGAUUGUAACAUCUCUCUUCCAGUCUCUGUCCCAGCCUCUUACACAGAUGUAUGCUUCAGCCAGCCCAGCUCAGAGAGCAGUGGGAACAGAUGAUCUCAUCCUGUCAAACCGAGCAACAUGGGUCCUACUGAGGCUUAGAUGGAAGAUCCCAUGCGUCUCCGGGAGAGGAUGUGUCCAGGAUCCUGGAGACUGUUUCCUGCAGGAGGUUUGAGUGGGGAGAGAUCACUCACUGUUUUGACCCAUGGGUCAUUAACCCGGGUCUGCAGGGCUCCUGGGAGCAGCCACACUCCAGCAGGCCACCUGGAAGCCUACUAAAAACUGCUUACCUAGGACUUAUGAAUUCCAGACCCAGUUUGAGGCUCCAUCCCUGAGGCCUAAUGGCAGAGUCCCUGAGCAGCUAAUCGGCCCCCGGGACCUCCUUAAACCAACAGCAGGAACAAGAAGCUGUCUGAACACCCGAGCUCCCCUGUCUUCUGGACCAUGUGUUAGCUGUUCCUGCUCCCACUCCCCAGGCUUGAUUUCCUGGCAUCCUGACUCGCUGUGACUCAUCUGAUUUGAGGUUCUGAACACAAUUUGGUGUUUUGCUUCUGCUCUUCGAGUAUCCUGACCCAGCUGACUCUUGACUCCUGUCUUCUGAGUGUGGAUUCUGCCUCUGACCACUAGGUCUGGCUGCUGAUGACAUGGCCAUGACACUGACUUUUCUACGAUUCCUCCAAUGUCCUUUUCUGCUCUCCAGCUCUGCUGUCCCAGCAAGAUACACCAAUCCCCUGGCUCCCAGAGUCCUGGUUGCUGCUAUUCAAGGGCUCAGGGGUAGUGCUUGUAUUGCCCCCUCCCCCACCACAGCUGCUUUUCCUAUGGGAAUCUCCCUAGCACAGAGGAGAAAUCUGCUCUUCUCUUAGGCCUGGUCUACACAAGGACUUUAAUUCGAAUUUAGCAGCGUUAAUUCGAACUAACCGCUCAACCGUCCACACCAGAAAGCCAUUUAAUUCGAACUAGAGGGCUC
Mauremys reevesii (Reeves's turtle) is the source of this 4285-nucleotide long non-coding RNA. RefSeq lists it as uncharacterized. The transcript has 4 exons. Lineage: Eukaryota; Metazoa; Chordata; Testudines; Geoemydidae. The record is from RefSeq and is a predicted model, not a curated record.